RNAcentral lists this unclassified non-coding RNA (332 nucleotides) under soil metagenome. RNAcentral describes it as "partial contains 5.8S ribosomal RNA, internal transcribed spacer 2, and large subunit ribosomal RNA". The stretch from base 1 to 120 matches the Rfam family "5.8S ribosomal RNA", at positions 35 to 154 of the family's 154-position model. The record is from RNAcentral.
GAUGAAGAACGUAGCGAAAUGCGAUAAGUAGUGUGAAUUGCAGAAUUCAGUGAAUCAUCGAAUCUUUGAACGCACAUUGCGCCCUUUGGUAUUCCUUAGGGCAUGCCUGUUCGAGCGUCAUUUAAACCUUCAAGCUAAGCUUGGUGUUGGGUGACUGUCCGCUUCACGGCGGACUCGCCUCAAAAUUAUUGGCGGCCGGUACAUUGGCUUCGAGCGCAGCAGAAACGCGAACUCGGGCCCGUCGUAUUGGCUCCCAGAAGCUAUCUUUACAAUUUUGACCUCGGAUCAGGUAGGGAUACCCGCUGAACUUAAGCAUAUCAAUAAGCGGAGGA